Molecule: ribosomal RNA, 497 nt
Filed under: uncultured bacterium
Lineage: Bacteria
Description: partial 16S ribosomal RNA
Rfam family: Bacterial small subunit ribosomal RNA
Source: RNAcentral
GAUGAACGCUGGCGGCGUGCCUAAUACAUGCAAGUCGAGCGAACAGACGAGGAGCUUGCUCCUCUGACGUUAGCGGCGGACGGGUGAGUAACACGUGGAUAAACUACCUAUAAGACUGGGAUAACUUCGGGAAACCGGAGCUAAUACCGGAUAAUAUAUUGAACCGCAUGGUUCAAUAGUGAAAGACGGUUUUGCUGUCACUUAUAGAUGGAUCCGCGCCGCAUUAGCUAGUUGGUAAGGUAACGGCUUACCAAGGCAACGAUGCGUAGCCGACCUGAGAGGGUGAUCGGCCACACUGGAACUGAGACACGGUCCAGACUCCUACGGGAGGCAGCAGUAGGGAAUCUUCCGCAAUGGGCGAAAGCUUGACGGAGCAACGCCGCGUGAGUGAUGAAGGUCUUCGGAUCGUAAAACUCUGUUAUUAGGGAAGAACAAAUGUGUAAGUAACUAUGCACGUCUUGACGGUACCUAAUCAGAAAGCCACGGCUAACUACGUG